This 253-nucleotide ribosomal RNA is filed under the name uncultured bacterium. RNAcentral describes it as "partial 16S ribosomal RNA". It matches the Rfam family "Bacterial small subunit ribosomal RNA", at positions 524 to 776 of the family's 1533-position model. The record is from RNAcentral.
UACGUAGGGUGCGAGCGUUAAUCGGAAUUACUGGGCGUAAAGCGUGCACAGGCGGCUUUGCAAGACAGAUGUGAAAUCCCCGGGCUCAACCUGGGAACUGCAUUUGUGACUGCAAGGCUAGAGUACGGCAGAGGGGGAUGGAAUUCCGCGUGUAGCAGUGAAAUGCGUAGAUAUGCGGAGGAACACCAAUGGCGAAGGCAAUCCCCUGGGCCUGUACUGACGCUCAUGCACGAAAGCGUGGGGAGCAAACAGG